CAGCAGCCGCCGCGGGAAUACAGAGGGUGCGAGCGUUAAUCGGAUUUACUGGGCGUAAAGCGUGCGUAGGCGGCUUCUUAAGUCGGAUGUGAAAUCCCUGAGCUUAACUUAGGAAUUGCAUUCGAUACUGGGAAGCUAGAGUAUGGGAGAGGAUGGUAGAAUUCCAGGUGUAGCGGUGAAAUGCGUAGAGAUCUGGAGGAAUACCGAUGGCGAAGGCAGCCAUCUGGCCUAAUACUGACGCUGAGGUACGAAAGCAUGGGGAGCAAACAGGAUUAGAUACCCCGGUAGUCCCUGUCUCUUAUAC
Molecule: ribosomal RNA, 304 nt
Filed under: uncultured bacterium
Lineage: Bacteria
Description: partial 16S ribosomal RNA
Rfam family: Bacterial small subunit ribosomal RNA
Source: RNAcentral